This 406-nucleotide ribosomal RNA is filed under the name uncultured bacterium. RNAcentral's name for it is "partial 16S ribosomal RNA". It matches the Rfam family "Bacterial small subunit ribosomal RNA", at positions 30 to 526 of the family's 1533-position model. The record is from RNAcentral.
AUUGAACGCUGGCGGCAGGCCUAACACAUGCAAGUCGAACGAGUGGCGGCCGGGUGAGUAAUGUCUGGGACACUGCCCGAUGGAGGGGGAUAACUACUGGAAACGGUAGCUACUACCGUCUACCAUAGGAUGUUCCCAGAUGGGAUUAGGUAGUGGGUGGGGUAACGGCGUACCUAGGCGACGAUCCCUAGCUGGUCGGAGAGGAUGAUCAGGCACACUGGAACUGAGACACGGUCCAGACUCCUACGGGAGGCAGCAGUGGGGAAUAUUGCACAAUGGGCGCAAGCCUGAUGCAGCCAUGCCGCGUGUAUGAAGAAGGCCUUCGGGUUGUAAAGUACUUUCAGCGAGGAGGCGUUACUCGCAGAAGAAGCACCGGCUAACUCCGUGCCAGCAGCCGCGGUAAUUC